RNAcentral lists this transfer RNA (72 nucleotides) under Bos taurus (domestic cattle). It matches the Rfam family "tRNA". From Rfam's summary of the family: Transfer RNA (tRNA) molecules are approximately 80 nucleotides in length. The record is from Rfam by way of RNAcentral. Lineage: Eukaryota; Metazoa; Chordata; Mammalia; Artiodactyla; Bovidae. RNAcentral also lists the same sequence under 5 other names.
UCCCAGGUGGCUCAGAGGUUAAAGCAUCUGCCCGCAAUGUGGGAGACCUGGGUUCAAUCCCUGGGUUGGGAA